Molecule: ribosomal RNA, 803 nt
Rfam family: 5.8S ribosomal RNA (bases 230-384)
CCACACCUAAAAAACUUUCCACGUGAACCGUUUCAACCCAAUAGUUGGGGGUCUUAUUUGGCGGCGGCUGCUGGCUUAAUUGUUGGCGGCUGCUGCUGAGUGAGCCCUAUCAAAAAAAAAGGGAAACGUUUGGGCUUCGGCCUGAUUUAGUAGUCUUUUUUCUUUUAAACCCAUUCCUUAAUACUGAAUAUACUGUGGGGACGAAAGUCUCUGCUUUUAACUAGAUAGCAACUUUCAGCAGUGGAUGUCUAGGCUCGCACAUCGAUGAAGAACGCUGCGAACUGCGAUACGUAAUGCGAAUUGCAGGAUUCAGUGAGUCAUCGAAAUUUUGAACGCAUAUUGCACUUCCGGGUUAGUCCUGGAAGUAUGCCUGUAUCAGUGUCCGUACAUUAAACUUGACUUUCUUCCUUCCGUGUAGUCGGUGGAGGAGAUGUCAGAUGUGAAGUGUCUUGCGAUUGGUCUUCGGACCGGCUGCGAGUCCUUUUAAAUGUACUAAACUGAACUUCUCUUUGCUCGAAAAGUGGUGGCGUUGCUGGUUGUGAAGGCUGCUAUUGUGGCAAAUUGGCGACUGGUUUGUCUGCUGCGGCAUUAAUGGAAGAGUGUUCGAUUCGUGGUAUGGUUGGCUUCGGCUGAACAAUGCACUUAUUGGACGUUUUUCCUGCUGUGGCGUGAUGGACUGGUGAACCAUAGCUCGGUGGCUUGGCUUUUGAAUUGGCUUUGCUGUUGCGAAGUAGGGUGGCAGCUUCGGUUGUCGAGGGUCGAUCCAUUUGGGAACUUAAUGUGUACUUCGGUAUGCAUCUCAA